CUUUAGAGUUUGAUCCUGGCUCAGGACGAACGCUGGCGGCGUGCUUAACACAUGCAAGUCGAACGAUGAACCGCUUUCGGGCGGGGAUUAGUGACGAACGGGUGAGUAACACGUGGGCAAUCUGCCCUGCACUCUGGGACAAGCCCUGGAAACGGGGUCUAAUACCGGAUAUGACCGUCUGCCGCAUGGUGGAUGGUGUAAAGCUCCGGCGGUGCAGGAUGAGCCCGCGGCCUAUCAGCUUGUUGGUGAGGUAGUGGCUCACCAAGGCGACGACGGGUAGCCGGCCUGAGAGGGCGACCGGCCACACUGGGAUCUGAGACACGGCCCAGACUCCUAGCGGGAGGCAGCAUGUGGGGAAUAUUGCACAAUGGGCGAAAGCCUGAUGCAGCGACGCCGCGUGAGGGAUGACGGCCUUCGGGUUGUAAACCUCUUUCAGCAGGAAGAAGCAAAGUGACGUACUC
This 461-nucleotide ribosomal RNA is filed under the name Streptomyces albidoflavus. RNAcentral describes it as "bacterial SSU rRNA". It matches the Rfam family "Bacterial small subunit ribosomal RNA", at positions 1 to 465 of the family's 1533-position model. Lineage: Bacteria; Bacillati; Actinomycetota; Actinomycetes; Kitasatosporales; Streptomycetaceae. The record is from RNAcentral.